UACGAAGGGGGCUAGCGUUGUUCGGAAUUACUGGGCGUAAAGCGCAUGUAGGCGGUUGUGCAAGACCGAUGUGAAAUCCCCGGGCUCAACCUGGGAAUUGCAUUUGAAACUGGGAAACUAGAGUGUGUGAGAGGGGGGUAGAAUUCCAAGUGUAGCGGUGAAAUGCGUAGAGAUUUGGAGGAAUACCAGUGGCGAAGGCGGCCCCCUGGCACAACACUGACGCUCAGGUGCGAAAGCGUGGGGAGCAAACAGG
RNAcentral lists this ribosomal RNA (253 nucleotides) under uncultured bacterium. Its description in RNAcentral is "partial 16S ribosomal RNA". It matches the Rfam family "Bacterial small subunit ribosomal RNA", at positions 524 to 776 of the family's 1533-position model. The record is from RNAcentral.